CACGGAGUUAGCCGGGGCUUCUUCCUCGAGUCCUGUCAUGAUCGCGCACUCGACGAAAGAGCUUUACAACCCUAGGGCCUUCAUCACUCACGCGGCAUGGCUGGAUCAGGCUUGCGCCCAUUGUCCAAUAUUCCCCACUGCUGCCUCCCGUAGGAGUUUGGGCCGUGUCUCAGUCCCAAUGUGGCUGAUCAUCCUCUUAGACCAGCUACCGAUCGUCGCCUUGGUAGGCCUUUACCCCACCAACUAGCUAAUCGGACGCGGGCUCAUCCUGAACCGAUAAAUCUUUGCCCCUCAGGGCACAUGCGGUAUUAAUUCCAGUUUCCCGGAGCUAUUCCGCAGUUCAGGGUAGAUUCCCACGCGUUACUCACCCGUCUGCCGCUCCCCUUGCGGGGCGCUCGACUUGCAUGUGUUAAGCCUGCCGCCAGCGUUCGUUCUGAGCCAGGAUCAAACUCU
Molecule: ribosomal RNA, 453 nt
Filed under: uncultured Aurantimonas sp.
Lineage: Bacteria; Pseudomonadati; Pseudomonadota; Alphaproteobacteria; Hyphomicrobiales; Aurantimonadaceae
Description: partial 16S ribosomal RNA
Source: RNAcentral